This 252-nucleotide ribosomal RNA is filed under the name uncultured bacterium. Its description in RNAcentral is "partial 16S ribosomal RNA". It matches the Rfam family "Bacterial small subunit ribosomal RNA", at positions 526 to 779 of the family's 1533-position model. The record is from RNAcentral.
CGUAGGGGCGAGCGUUAUCCGGAUUCAUUGGGCGUAAAGCGCUCGUAGGCGGUCCGUUAGGUCGGGAGUCAAAUCCGGGGGCUCAACCCCCGCACGCUCCCGAUACCGGCGGACUUGAGUUUGGUAGGGGAAGGCGGAAUUCCAAGUGUAGCGGUGGAAUGCGCAGAUAUUUGGAAGAACACCGGUGGCGAAGGCGGCCUUCUGGGCCACAACUGACGCUGAGGAGCGAAAGCUAGGGGAGCGAACAGGAUU